This 253-nucleotide ribosomal RNA is filed under the name uncultured bacterium. RNAcentral describes it as "partial 16S ribosomal RNA". It matches the Rfam family "Bacterial small subunit ribosomal RNA", at positions 524 to 776 of the family's 1533-position model. The record is from RNAcentral.
UACAGAGGGGGCAAGCGUUGUUCGGAAUUACUGGGCGUAAAGGGCUCGUAGGCGGCCUGUUAAGUCGAACGUGAAAUCCCCGGGCUCAACCCGGGAACUGCGUCCGAUACUGGCAGGCUUGAAUUCGGGAGAGGGAUGUGGAAUUCCAGGUGUAGCGGUGAAAUGCGUAGAUAUCAGGAGGAACACCGGUGGCGAAGGCGGGUCUCUGGGCCGAUACUGACGCUGAGGAGCGAAAGCGUGGGGAGCGAUCAGG